GAAAUGCGAUAAGUAAUGUGAAUUGCAGAAUUCAGUGAAUCAUCGAGUCUUUGAACGCACAUUGCGCCCCCUGGUAUUCCGGGGGGCAUGCCUGUCCGAGCGUCAUUACUGCCCUCAAGCCCGGCUUGUAUUGGGUCCUCGUCCCCCCGGGGACGGGCCCGAAAGGCAGCGGCGGCACCGCGUCCGGUCCUCGAGCGUAUGGGGCUUUGUCACCCGCUCUGUAGGCCCGGCCGGCGCCAGCCCACGCAUCACCUUUUUUUCAGGUUGACCUCGGAUCAGGUAGGGAUACCCGCUGAACUUAA
RNAcentral lists this unclassified non-coding RNA (302 nucleotides) under uncultured Aspergillus. RNAcentral describes it as "sequence contains ITS1". The stretch from base 1 to 105 matches the Rfam family "5.8S ribosomal RNA", at positions 50 to 154 of the family's 154-position model. Lineage: Eukaryota; Fungi; Ascomycota; Eurotiomycetes; Eurotiales; Aspergillaceae. The record is from RNAcentral.